GCGUGCGGGAAGAAGGCCUUCGGGUUGUAAACCGCUUUUGUCGGGGAAGAAAUCUUCCGGGCUAAUACCUCGGGAGGAUGACGGUACCCGGAGAAUAAGCACCGGCUAACUACGUGCCAGCAGCCGCGGUAAUACGUAGGGUGCAAGCGUUAAUCGGAAUUACUGGGCGUAAAGCGUGCGCAGGCGGCUCUGCAAGACAGAUGUGAAAUCCCCGGGCUCAACCUGGGAACUGCAUUUGUGACUGCAAAGCUCGAGUGCGGCAGAGGGGGAUGGAAUUCCGCGUGUAGCAGUGAAAUGCGU
RNAcentral lists this ribosomal RNA (300 nucleotides) under uncultured bacterium. RNAcentral's name for it is "bacterial SSU rRNA". It matches the Rfam family "Bacterial small subunit ribosomal RNA", at positions 399 to 691 of the family's 1533-position model. The record is from RNAcentral.